GAUGAACGCUGGCGGCGUGCUUAACACAUGCAAGUCGAACGGUGAACACGGAGCUUGCCCUGUGGGAUCAGUGGCGAACGGGUGAGUAACACGUGAGCAACCUGCCCCUGACUCUGGGAUAAGCGCUGGAAACGGCGUCUAAUACUGGAUAUGUGACGUGACCGCAUGGUCUGCGUUUGGAAAGAUUUUUCGGUUGGGGAUGGGCUCGCGGCCUAUCAGCUUGUUGGUGAGGUAAUGGCUCACCAAGGCGUCGACGGGUAGCCGGCCUGAGAGGGUGACCGGCCACACUGGGACUGAGACACGGCCCAGACUCCUACGGGAGGCAGCAGUGGGGAAUAUUGCACAAUGGGCGCAAGCCUGAUGCAGCAACGCCGCGUGAGGGAUGACGGCCUUCGGGUUGUAAACCUCUUUUAGCAGGGAAGAAGCGAAAGUGACGGUACCUGCAGAAAAAGCGCCGGCUAACUACGUG
This 469-nucleotide ribosomal RNA is filed under the name uncultured bacterium. Its description in RNAcentral is "partial 16S ribosomal RNA". It matches the Rfam family "Bacterial small subunit ribosomal RNA", at positions 28 to 507 of the family's 1533-position model. The record is from RNAcentral.